This 285-nucleotide unclassified non-coding RNA is filed under the name Pseudopithomyces sp. RNAcentral's name for it is "partial internal transcribed spacer region". The stretch from base 1 to 46 matches the Rfam family "Eukaryotic small subunit ribosomal RNA", at positions 1786 to 1831 of the family's 1831-position model. Lineage: Eukaryota; Fungi; Ascomycota; Dothideomycetes; Pleosporales; Didymosphaeriaceae. The record is from RNAcentral. RNAcentral also lists the same sequence under 1 other name.
AAGUCGUAACAAGGUUUCCGUAGGUGAACCUGCGGAAGGAUCAUUAACCGUUACAAACAGUGUGUGCUGCGGCCCCCGAGGUGAGGCAACGAGCCUUCGGGAGGUCUGGGGUCCGCCCCUUCACGCGCACGCGUCUGCCAUCCUUACUUUACGAGCACCUUCUGUUCUCCCUCGGCAUGCGUCCUGCGCUGCCGUUGGAACUACAAAACUCUUUUUUGCAUCUAGCAUUACCUGUUCCGACAAUAACAAUCGUUACAACUUUCAACAAUGGAUCUCUUGGCUCUG